UCCUACGGGAGGCAGCAGUGAGGAAUAUUGGACAAUGGGUGAAAGCCUGAUCCAGCCAUCCCGCGUGCAGGAAGACGGCCCUAUGGGUUGUAAACUGCUUUUAUCUGGGGAUAAACCUACUUACGUGUAAGUAGCUGAAGGUACCAGAAGAAUAAGCACCGGCUAACUCCGUGCCAGCAGCCGCGGUAAU
RNAcentral lists this ribosomal RNA (190 nucleotides) under uncultured Elizabethkingia sp. Its description in RNAcentral is "partial 16S rRNA". It matches the Rfam family "Bacterial small subunit ribosomal RNA", at positions 337 to 524 of the family's 1533-position model. The record is from RNAcentral. Lineage: Bacteria; Pseudomonadati; Bacteroidota; Flavobacteriia; Flavobacteriales; Weeksellaceae.